UUCCAUAAAAUAAACAAAAUGAAAUAAAAUCAACAAAAGGGAUAAAGGAAUAAAAUAAGGGAGAAAGGUUAUGUUUAGGAGAGGGGGAGGGAAGAGGUUAUGGUAGGGAACUGAUGGAGUGGCUAUGUUUUAGGACCGGGACGGAUGGAGGGGCGAGACGGAUCAUCAUUUCGGCCAAACAGGUUAUGGUUAGGGUUAGGGUUAGGAUUAGGAUUAGGAAUCCAUAAAAUGAAUAAAAUGAAAUGAAAUAAAAACAAUAAAAGAAAUAAAAUAUGGGAGAAAGGUUAUGUUUAGGCCAAACGGGGCUGUGGAGGAGAGCCUAAAGAUCCACCUUCUCUCAGCAGCUCUCCUCUGGCCCAGGGACCAACCGACAUUGGUCUCUAGACCGGACAAUGAAAAGUUGUUGAUAUGAUGUGAGAUGAAAUGGUCCUGCAUAAUUUGCACUGGAUGGCGUAGACGACGUUGCAGGAGAGUAGUGUGAAGGUCUGCGAGAUGGGGGCACCGGCUCGACAGUUGAAGAUGUACUUCAGGGGCCGUAUUCACAAAGGAUUUUAGGGCUAAAAGUAGGUCCUAACUGGCAAAUUUAGGAGUAACUCCUAAAAAUAAUGGGCGUGUCACUCUUAAAUUUAGGACUCCUAACUUUUUUCACUAAGAGCAAUUCACAAAGUAUUUUAGGCCUAAAAGUAGCACCUAAGUCUAGGAGAGCUUAAAAGUCCUCAAGAGGACUCCUAACUCAGUAAGACCUAUUCACAAAGAAUCGUAAAUGCCUGCGAGACGA
RNAcentral lists this long non-coding RNA (778 nucleotides) under Gadus morhua (Atlantic cod). RNAcentral's name for it is "lncRNA (ENSGMOG00000024125.1)". Lineage: Eukaryota; Metazoa; Chordata; Actinopteri; Gadiformes; Gadidae. The record is from RNAcentral.